GGAUGAACGCUAGCGGGAGGCCUAACACAUGCAAGCCGAGCGGUAUUUGUUCUUCGGGACAGAGAGAGCGGCGUACGGGUGCGGAACACGUGUGCAACCUGCCUUUAUCAGGGGGAUAGCCUUUCGAAAGGAAGAUUAAUACCCCAUAAUAUAUUGAUUGGCAUCAAUUAAUAUUGAAAACUCCGGUGGAUAGAGAUGGGCACGCGCAAGAUUAGAUAGUUGGUGAGGUAACGGCUCACCAAGUCAGUGAUCUUUAGGGGGCCUGAGAGGGUGAUCCCCCACACUGGUACUGAGACACGGACCAGACUCCUACGGGAGGCAGCAGUGAGGAAUAUUGGACAAUGGGUGAGAGCCUGAUCCAGCCAUCCCGCGUGAAGGACGACGGUUCUAUGGAUUGUAAACUUCUUUUAUACUGGGAUAAACCUACCCUCGUGAGGGUAGCUGAAGGUACAGUAUGAAUAAGCACCGGCUAACUCCGUGCCAGCAGCCGCGGUAAUACGGAGGGUGCAAGCGUUAUCCGGAUUUAUUGGGUUUAAAGGGUCCGUAGGCGGAUCUGUAAGUCAGUGGUGAAAUCUCAUAGCUUAACUAUGAAACUGCCAUUGAUACUGCAGGUCUUGAGUAAAGUAGAAGUGGCUGGAAUAAGUAGUGUAGCGGUGAAAUGCAUAGAUAUUACUUAGAACACCAAUUGCGAAGGCAGGUCACUAUGUUUUAACUGACGCUGAUGGACGAAAGCGUGGGGAGCGAACAGGAUUAGAUACCCUGGUAGUCCACGCCGUAAACGAUGCUAACUCGUUUUUGGGUUUUCGGAUUCAGAGACUAAGCGAAAGUGAUAAGUUAGCCACCUGGGGAGUACGUUCGCAAGAAUGAAACUCAAAGGAAUUGACGGGGGCCCGCACAAGCGGUGGAUUAUGUGGUUUAAUUCGAUGAUACGCGAGGAACCUUACCAAGGCUUAAAUGGGAAUUGACAGGUUUAGAAAUAGACUUUUCUUCGGACAAUUUUCAAGGUGCUGCAUGGUUGUCGUCAGCUCGUGCCGUGAGGUGUUAGGUUAAGUCCUGCAACGAGCGCAACCCCUGUCACUAGUUGCCAUCAUUCAGUUGGGGACUCUAGUGAGACUGCCUACGCAAGUAGAGAGGAAGGUGGGGAUGACGUCAAAUCAUCACGGCCCUUACGCCUUGGGCCACACACGUAAUACAAUGGCCAGUACAGAGGGCAGCUACCAGGCGACUGGAUGCGAAUCUCGAAAGCUGGUCUCAGUUCGGAUUGGAGUCUGCAACUCGACUCUAUGAAGCUGGAAUCGCUAGUAAUCGCGCAUCAGCCAUGGCGCGGUGAAUACGUUCCCGGGCCUUGUACACACCGCCCGUCAAGCCAUGGAAGUCUGGGGUACCUGAAGUCGGUGACCGUAACAGGAGCUGCCUAGGGUAAAACAGGUAACUAGGGCUAA
Molecule: ribosomal RNA, 1442 nt
Filed under: Chryseobacterium sp.
Lineage: Bacteria; Pseudomonadati; Bacteroidota; Flavobacteriia; Flavobacteriales; Weeksellaceae
Description: bacterial SSU rRNA
Rfam family: Bacterial small subunit ribosomal RNA
Source: RNAcentral